AUGAACGCUAGCGGCAGGCUUAACACAUGCAAGUCGAGGGGCAGCAUGAGACGGAGAUUCGUCGAAGUCUUGAUGGCGACCGGCGCAAGGGUGCGUAACGCGUGAGCAACUUGCCCGUUNAGGGGGAUAACCGGUGGAAACGCCGACUAAUACCCCAUAGCAUCAACUUUAGGCAUCUUUAGUUGAUUAAAGAAUUUCGGAAACGGAUAGGCUCGCGUGACAUUAGCUAGAUGGCGGGGUAACGGCCCACCAUGGCGACGAUGUCUAGGGGUUCUGAGAGGAAGGUCCCCCACACUGGAACUGAGACACGGUCCAGACUCCUACGGGAGGCAGCAGUGAGGAAUAUUGGUCAAUGGUCUGACGACUGAACCAGCCAUGCCGCGUGAAGGUCACGGCCCUAUGGGUCUUAAACUUCUUUUGCGAGGGAGCAAUAAGGCGCACGUGUGCGUCGAUGAGAGUACCUCGCGAAUAAGCAUCGGCUAACUCCGUG
RNAcentral lists this ribosomal RNA (490 nucleotides) under uncultured bacterium. RNAcentral describes it as "bacterial SSU rRNA". It matches the Rfam family "Bacterial small subunit ribosomal RNA", at positions 29 to 507 of the family's 1533-position model. The record is from RNAcentral.